Molecule: non-coding RNA, 46 nt
Organism: Daphnia pulex (common water flea)
Lineage: Eukaryota; Metazoa; Arthropoda; Branchiopoda; Diplostraca; Daphniidae
Source: Rfam
CAAUCGGCCCUUUUCAGGGCCACCAACGUUUUACAGAAUGAGUUCU